Molecule: ribosomal RNA, 433 nt
Filed under: uncultured bacterium
Lineage: Bacteria
Description: partial 16S ribosomal RNA
Rfam family: Bacterial small subunit ribosomal RNA
Source: RNAcentral
AACGAACGCUGGCGGCAGGCUUAACACAUGCAAGUCGAGCGCAUCCUUCGGGGUGAGCGGCGGACGGGUGAGUAACGCGUGGGAACGUGCCCUCUUCUACGGAAUAGCCUCGGGAAACUGAGAGUAAUGCCGUAUACGCCCGCAAGGGGAAAGAUUUCUCGGAGGAGGAUCGGCCCGCGGUGGAUUAGGUAGUUGGUGGGGUAACGGCCUACCAAGCCGACGAUCCAUAGCUGGUUUGAGAGGAUGAUCAGCCACACUGGGACUGAGACACGGCCCAGACUCCUACGGGAGGCAGCAGUGGGGAAUCUUGGACAAUGGGGGCAAACCUGAUCCAGCCAUGCCGCGUGAUCGAUGAAGGCCUUAGGGUUGUAAAGAUCUUUCAGCUGGGAAGAUAAUGACGGUACCAGCAGAAGAAGCCCCGGCUAACUACGUG